GAAACACGGACCAUGGAGUCUAGCAUGUGCGCGAGUCAUUGGGAAUCACUAAACCUAAAGGCGCAAUGAAAGUGAAGGUUCGCCUCGCGCGGACCGAGGGAGGAUGGGUGUGCACGUUCGCGUGCCGCUCCGCACUCCCGGGGCGUCUCGUUCUCAUUGCGAGAAGAGGCGCACCAAGAGCGUACACGCUGGGACCCGAAAGAUGGUGAACUAUGCCUGGUCAGGACGAAGUCAGGGGAAACCCUGAUGGAGGUCCGUAGCGAUUCUGACGUGCAAAUCGAUCGUCGGAACUGGGUAUAGGGGCGAAAGACUAAUCGAACCAUCUAGUAGCUGGUUCCCUCCGAAGUUUCCCUCAGGAUAGCUGGCGCUCGUCGCCUACGAGUCUCAUCCGGUAAAGCGAAUGAUUAGAGGCAUUGGGGUCGAAACGGCCUCAACCUAUUCUCAAACUUUAAAUGGGUGAGAUCUCCGGCUUGCUCGAACUUAUGAAGCCGCGAGACACGGAUCAGAGUGCCAAGUGGGCCAUUUUUGGUAAGCAGAACUGGCGCUGUGGGAUGAACCAAACGCCGAGUUAAAGCGCCUAAAUCGACGCUUAUGGGAUACCAUGAAAGGCGUUGGUAACUUAAGACAGCAGGACGGUGGCCAUGGAAGUCGGAAUCCG
This 658-nucleotide ribosomal RNA is filed under the name Stenocylidrus sp. G0189. RNAcentral describes it as "partial 28S large subunit ribosomal RNA". It matches the Rfam family "Eukaryotic large subunit ribosomal RNA", at positions 656 to 1270 of the family's 3401-position model. Lineage: Eukaryota; Metazoa; Arthropoda; Insecta; Coleoptera; Cleridae. The record is from RNAcentral.